This 702-nucleotide ribosomal RNA is filed under the name Triticum aestivum (bread wheat). RNAcentral's name for it is "partial small subunit ribosomal RNA". The record is from RNAcentral. Lineage: Eukaryota; Viridiplantae; Streptophyta; Magnoliopsida; Poales; Poaceae.
AUGGCUGCCGCGGCGGUGGACCCGAUGGUGCUUGGGCUGGGAACGAGCGGAGGUGCGAGCGGGAGCGGAGUGGUAGGAGGCGGUGUUGGGAGAGCAGGAGGAGGGGGUGCUGUGAUGGAAGGGGCGCAGCCGGUGGAUCUCGCCAGGCACCCCUCCGGCAUCGUCCCGGUCCUCCAGAACAUUGUGUCAACUGUUAAUCUGGACUGCAGGUUGGAUCUGAAACAAAUUGCCUUACAGGCCCGUAAUGCAGAGUACAACCCAAAGCGUUUUGCAGCGGUUAUCAUGAGGAUAAGGGACCCCAAGACAACAGCUCUUAUAUUUGCUUCAGGAAAGAUGGUAUGCACUGGAGCAAAGAGUGAAGAACACUCGAAGCUUGCUGCCAGGAAGUAUGCACGAAUUGUCCAAAAGCUUGGCUUCCCAGCUACAUUCAAGGACUUCAAGAUCCAGAACAUUGUCGCCUCAUGUGACGUGAAAUUUCCCAUUCGUCUCGAGGGCCUUGCUUAUUCCCAUGGUGCCUUCUCCAGUUAUGAGCCAGAGCUCUUUCCUGGGUUGAUUUACCGUAUGAAACAGCCAAAGAUUGUCCUCCUUGUAUUUGUCUCUGGAAAGAUUGUUCUCACGGGAGCUAAGGUGCGCGAUGAGAUAUAUGCUGCCUUUGAGAACAUCUACCCGGUGCUAACUGAGUACAGGAAAUCUCAGCAAUGA